RNAcentral lists this ribosomal RNA (254 nucleotides) under uncultured bacterium. RNAcentral describes it as "partial 16S ribosomal RNA". It matches the Rfam family "Bacterial small subunit ribosomal RNA", at positions 524 to 776 of the family's 1533-position model. The record is from RNAcentral.
GACGUAGGGCGCGAGCGUUGUCCGGAUUUAUUGGGCGUAAAGAGCUCGUAGGCGGCUUGUUGCGUCGGCUGUGAAAACCCGCGGCUUAACCGUGGGCUUGCAGCCGAUACGGGCAGGCUAGAGUUCGGUAGGGGAGACUGGAAUUCCUGGUGUAGCGGUGAAAUGCGUAGAUAUCUGGAGGAACACCGGUGGCGAAGGCGGCAUCCUGGACCACGACUGACGCUGAGUGAGCGAAAGCCAGGGGAGCAAACGGG